GCCCAACUGUGUGUGUAAUCAGUCGUAUCCCUGGAAAAGGCUUUACAGUGAGGAGGGCUGAGGUGAUUCUGACUCGUUGCCUGACAGGAAUAAAACGUGCCAGGGAUUGCUGAAAGGAUAGAAGCAGUGUCUGAAUGCUGCAGGACACCUGCUUAAUUGAAAGAGAAAUGGAGGGAGCACAGCGGGAAAGCCUGGCGAGGGUAUCUGCCUGAGAGGAGAAACCUGGAGGGGGGUCCUGCUUCAGACACUCAGCUUCUCUCCUAUCGAUGCAAGGAAGGAGCAUUGCUCUCCAUUUAACCCUGCUUCUCUCCACAUCCCCUGGAUCUUGUGCACUGCUCCUGCAAUAGCCUGUCCUCUCAGCAAUACCGUCAGUCCAUCCCAUUCUUCACGGCCAGCAGAUGUUCCUUUCUAUUACAUUUC
Long non-coding RNA from Acipenser ruthenus (sterlet), 420 nucleotides. RefSeq lists it as uncharacterized. Lineage: Eukaryota; Metazoa; Chordata; Actinopteri; Acipenseriformes; Acipenseridae. The record is from RefSeq and is a predicted model, not a curated record. The transcript has 3 exons.